GUGCUUGCUUCGGCAACACAUAUGCUAAAAUUGGAACGAUACAGAGAAGAUUAGCAUGGCCCCUGUGCAAGGAUGUCAUGCAAAUUUGUGAAGCGUUCCAUAUUGGG
This is a small nuclear RNA of Chiloscyllium plagiosum (whitespotted bambooshark), 107 nucleotides long. NCBI's taxonomy places the organism in Eukaryota, Metazoa, Chordata, Chondrichthyes, Orectolobiformes, Hemiscylliidae. The record is from RefSeq and is a predicted model, not a curated record.